RNAcentral lists this ribosomal RNA (512 nucleotides) under Fusarium lateritium. Its description in RNAcentral is "eukaryotic LSU rRNA". The stretch from base 143 to 296 matches the Rfam family "5.8S ribosomal RNA". The record is from RNAcentral. Lineage: Eukaryota; Fungi; Ascomycota; Sordariomycetes; Hypocreales; Nectriaceae.
CAACUCCCAAACCCCUGUGAACAUACCUUAAUGUUGCCUCGGCGGAUCAGCCCGCUCCCCGUAAAACGGGACGGCCCGCCAGAGGACCCAAACUCUAAUGUUUCUUAUUGUAACUUCUGAGUAAAACAAACAAAUAAAUCAAAACUUUCAACAACGGAUCUCUUGGUUCUGGCAUCGAUGAAGAACGCAGCAAAAUGCGAUAAGUAAUGUGAAUUGCAGAAUUCAGUGAAUCAUCGAAUCUUUGAACGCACAUUGCGCCCGCUGGUAUUCCGGCGGGCAUGCCUGUUCGAGCGUCAUUUCAACCCUCAAGCCCCCGGGUUUGGUGUUGGGGAUCGGCUCUGCCUCACGGCGGUGCCGCCCCCGAAAUACAUUGGCGGUCUCGCUGCAGCCUCCAUUGCGUAGUAGCUAACACCUCGCAACUGGAACGCGGCGCGGCCAUGCCGUAAAACCCCAACUUCUGAAUGUUGACCUCGGAUCAGGUAGGAAUACCCGCUGAACUUAAGCAUAUCAAA